CCUACGGGUGGCAGCAGUAGGGAAUUUUCGUCAAUGGGCGCAAGCCUGAACGAGCGAUGCCGCGUGAGUGAAGAAGGCCUUCGGGUCGUAAAGCUCUGUUGCGGGGGAAAAAAGGCAGCAUCAGGAAAUGGGUGCUGACUGAUGGUGCCCCGCCAGAAAGUCACGGCUAACUACGUGCCAGCAGCCGCGGUAAUACGUAGGUGGCGAGCGUUAUCCGGAAUGAUUGGGCGUAAAGGGUGCGUAGGCGGCCUGCUAAGUCUGGAGUGAAAGGUACCGGCUCAACCGGUACAGGCUCUGGAAACUGGCGGGCUAGAGAGCAGGAGAGGGCGGUGGAACUCCAUGUGUAGCGGUAAAAUGCGUAGAUAUAUGGAAGAACACCAGUGGCGAAGGCGGCCGCCUGGCCUGUUACUGACGCUGAGGCACGAAAGCGUGGGGAGCAAAUAGGAUUAGAUACCCUGGUAGUC
This 464-nucleotide ribosomal RNA is filed under the name uncultured bacterium. RNAcentral's name for it is "partial 16S ribosomal RNA". It matches the Rfam family "Bacterial small subunit ribosomal RNA", at positions 338 to 795 of the family's 1533-position model. The record is from RNAcentral.